RNAcentral lists this ribosomal RNA (388 nucleotides) under uncultured bacterium. Its description in RNAcentral is "bacterial SSU rRNA". It matches the Rfam family "Bacterial small subunit ribosomal RNA", at positions 28 to 417 of the family's 1533-position model. The record is from RNAcentral.
GACGAACGCUGGCGGCGUGCUUAACACAUGCAAGUCGAGCGGUAAGGCCCUUUCGGGGGUACACGAGCGGCGAACGGGUGAGUAACACGUGGGUGACCUGCCCUCAGCUCUGGGAUAAGCCUGGGAAACUGGGUCUAAUACUGGAUAUUACUCUGCGGUGCAUGCCGUGGGGUGGAAAGCCUUGUGCGGCUGGGGAUGGGCCCGCGGCCUAUCAGCUUGUUGGUGGGGUGAUGGCCUACCAAGGCGACGACGGGUAGCCGGCCUGAGAGGGCGACCGGCCACACUGGGACUGAGACACGGCCCAGACUCCUACGGGAGGCAGCAGUGGGGAAUCUUGCGCAAUGGGCGAAAGCCUGACGCAGCGACGCCGCGUGAGGGAUGACGGCCU